AGUAGUGUGGCAUGGUGGUUUGAGUGUUGGACUACCGCUCUGGAGACCAGGGUUCGAAUCCUGGCUUGGCCA
Non-coding RNA from Phrynosoma platyrhinos (Desert horned lizard), 72 nucleotides. The record is from the annotation of a GenBank genome assembly. NCBI's taxonomy places the organism in Eukaryota, Metazoa, Chordata, Lepidosauria, Squamata, Phrynosomatidae.